UGUUCGGAAGAUUUCGGCAGGGUGGAAAUCUGCGAAAAGAAGAAUGUCGAAUGAAAAAUAAGAAGCCGAUUGUCACGUCUUGUCUUAGGAUCAAAUCACAAAAUAAAUUCAUACUGACUGAAAAAUUAAGCAACUUUAUCGUGGCAAACGGAACAUCCCAGCGAAAACCAUUUCAAACAUUAUUUUACCUGAUUUAUUGAAUGCUAUUUAAUCAAUUAAUAACGUGUUUAAAUUUAUUCAAAGAAUUCGAGUCAACGCAGGACUCAGGUUUUUUAAGCGGAUUUUUUUUCGGAUGAACUUGACACUCGAAUAGAACAGUAACAAAACCAUGUCACUGCGACAGAAAAAUAAUAACCAUUUGCAGUGAAGUCCAAUGUUGUACUAUAAUACCAAAACAAGACUUUUACAGUAACUAGGAUUGGCUAUGAGUUGAUUUUUAUUUUUUUAAUGUUAUUUAACAAAUGAUUGUGUUCCACGCAUUUCACAUUUAAUGCUAAUUUACUGAAUCAUUGUUUGUCGGAAAAUGAAAUUAAUUGUUACUUGAAAUUUUAGUGUAAAUUUAUUGCAAGAAUACUGCUUGAAUAACGUCCAACUGCCCUUCAAUUUAAAGAUAACUUGAAGUUUCUUUCUUUAUCAUAGUUCAUAUCUGAAAUCUUGUAAGUUGGACGAUAUAAAAUGGUUAAUGAACUUAACCGAAGGCAUCCGGAAAUUAAACAAAUCAGAUCAGAUCAAAAAGAGUAUAAUGAAUAGAUGGAAGAAAAAGUAGAUCUUGUGGAGUUGGAGUAUUCUGAAGAUUUCUGACGAUAGCGUAUUCGAUAACUCAGAACGUAAUCUAGUGUACCAUAUUGCAGGAUACAUUCUUAAGAAUGUCCCGAAAAACUAUACUGUUUGUGAAGCAUGCUUUACACCAUGUAUUAGUACGACCCCAUUUUAAAACAAUUUACAAAGUAUAUUAUGCUUAAAGAUUUUAGUAGGGAAGCACUAUCGUAUGUAACAGAAGUUGUUUAUUUGUUUUUUAUCGCGCAUGAGAAGAGAAUAUUUCGAGACGUCACGAGUCUCGUCACUUGUAAUGAAAACGUUUCAUCAAACCUGGCAACACUCAUAAAAUCACUUACCAUAAAUAUCUUUGAAGAAGAAUGUCAUAAUAUUCGCAAUUAGAUAAUAAAGCAUUUUGUAACGUUC
Molecule: long non-coding RNA, 1182 nt
Organism: Topomyia yanbarensis
Lineage: Eukaryota; Metazoa; Arthropoda; Insecta; Diptera; Culicidae
Exons: 2
Source: RefSeq, a predicted model, not a curated record